AUGGAGAAACUUUGUGACUGUUGCAAGAGAUAUGCGGACCAUUUGGAUGAAAAGAUGAAGUGUUUCCGCAGGCACGUGGGUGCUGAUUUUAGACAUGGCAUGAUCAUACCAAAGAAGUUCAUAGAUAAUUUCGGGGGAAAGAUCUCAAGAACCAUCGAACUAGAAUCUUCUAAUGGUAAUAUGUAUGUCUUUGAAGUUUCCAAGCGCAUGGGUAAUACAGUCCUCCACCGUGGAUGGCAGGCAUUUAUAGAUGAACAUCACAUAGAAGAGAAUGAUUCAUUGUUGUUUCGUCACAUUGAGAAAUCCCGUUUUGAGGUUCUGGUCCUUGAUUCUGAUGAUUGUGAAAAGGUGUUCUUCUGCCCUGGCAUCAACAUUGUUAAUAAUGUUGAAGAAAGAGGUGCGGAUUCUGUUAAUAUUUCAAAUAGCUCCCGUGAUUAUGCCACAAGAUCAUCAGGAAGCAAAAGGUUUGCUACGUGUGGAAGGGGUAACUCAAGCCAUCCUAGAAAAGCAGCGAAGACAACCUUAAAUUACUCCUCACCUGAGAAUUCAGGAGAAGACACUGAGAACGAAAAUACAGACGCAAUAUACUCAUCGUCUGAGGAUUCAGGAGAAGAAACUGAGCCUGCAAAUACAGACAUAGAAUACUCCUCAUCUGGGGAUUCAGAAGAAGGCACUGAGGACAUUCCUUCGGAACACGAAUCAUCCUUUGAGCUAGAUGAUGGCCACACACCUUCACGGCAAGAUUAUGUCUUAGCUCGGGGAAGAACUCUAUCCAGAGUACAGGAUGAGAAAGUAACUACGCUUAUCCAGGAUGUUGGAGCUGAAAUUCCUGUGUUCGUGGCUGUCAUGAAGCCGAGCUAUGUCAAGUCACAAACUUCUGCUCUUGUCAUUCCCAAAGGCUAUGCAGUUGAACACUUCCCACCUAAAAGUCAAACUGUGACACUGCAGCGCCCAGGCAAGAGCAAGAAGUGGCAUCCCAGAUUGCACAUUAGGAAAGAUAAACGCGGGGCCAUCCUUUGUGGGCCUGGUUGGUUAGACUUUGUUCGCGACACUCAAGUACAGGUGGGAGAUAUCUGCAUCUUUGAAAGAAUGAAGAAGGGCACUGGAAGAACAUUCUCAUCACUUAGAGUACAUCUACUUCGCAAAUCAAUGCUUCAUUCCGGUGGAAGCGGAACUGGUCCUAAAAGAGUAAGCUCAACUCAUGGCAAAACAAGGGUUAAUUCAGCUACCCCUAAAAGAGCAAGCACAACUGAUGGUAGAACCAGGGCAAAGGCAACUUCGACAACCAAUGUUAGGAAGGAACCAGGAGGAAAUGAGCCUUCUUCGGUUCACAGCCAUGGUCACGAAGCACGUCAGGGGCCUGUCGAGUCUAAUAAAUCCAGAGGGCCUCGGAAACGUCCCUACAUAAUAUCAUCCACUGCAUGUCUGACCAGGGAGCAGGAGAUGUAUGUCGACAAGAGAGCUCGCUCCCUUCAGUCCGAUGUUCCCAUUUAUGCGUCAGUAAUGAACAAGAGCAGUGUUGGUGACAACAGCCUGUAUGCCGUAACUAUUUGCAGGAACUAUGCUGCUGAGUAUCUACCAGCUGGAGCGCAGACUGUGACACUCCUGAGGGCAGAGAAGAGCAAGACAUGGGAAAUCAAGGUGAACCCGAGGAUUGGCGACGCGAAGAUGCUCAGGGCAGGUUGGCGUGAGUUUGCCCACGACAACCAUCUGAAACUCAAAGACAUAUGUCUGUUCCAGCUGAUGACGGACCAGAGGAAGCUUACGAUGAUGGUCGACAUCAUUCGUCACAAUGAGAAGCGUUAG
This 1806-nucleotide ribosomal RNA is filed under the name Triticum aestivum (bread wheat). RNAcentral's name for it is "partial small subunit ribosomal RNA". The record is from RNAcentral. Lineage: Eukaryota; Viridiplantae; Streptophyta; Magnoliopsida; Poales; Poaceae.